Molecule: long non-coding RNA, 306 nt
Filed under: Carica papaya (papaya)
Lineage: Eukaryota; Viridiplantae; Streptophyta; Magnoliopsida; Brassicales; Caricaceae
Description: long non-coding RNA (CPAP_LNC015262)
Source: RNAcentral
GCAGAUAUAUUUUCUGAGGUUUGUGAUAGGAUUUGAAUAGUCUGAUGGCAUUAUUAACCUUAAUGGUUCUUGGUAUGCACUGAAUCAAAAGAUAUCUUCCUUAGAAGAAUGUCUCACAGAUAAAACUAAAAGCUAUUGUCUUCUCAAUAUUCUUUCUACGCUCAGAUUCAAUGUUCUUGUGAUGUGAACUUAGCAUGUUGUCAACUAGAUAUCCGUGCAAAGGAGCACAUUCACCCCUGUAGCCAUAAUUUGUCACAGCACCUUUGUUAUUUCCUCUUCAAGAUGUUAUGUACACAUUAAUUUGGU